UUUUUACAUUUGUAGGGGUAGCUGCUAGAAGCAAGCUGUUGGAAGACUACCUACGUAAUUUGCUCCAACUAUUACAAUAACAUUAAUGUCGAAAUACAAUUACACAUCGGAACUUCAUACAAAUAUUAGCACAUUCCUGUAAAACCUAUUAUGUAAUUGUUUGGAAAUUUUGGUUCAAUUGUUUAGAUUUCCCCUCAGAUUAUCAAUUGCAC
RNAcentral lists this long non-coding RNA (212 nucleotides) under Capsicum annuum. RNAcentral describes it as "long non-coding RNA (CANN_LNC003947)". The record is from RNAcentral. Lineage: Eukaryota; Viridiplantae; Streptophyta; Magnoliopsida; Solanales; Solanaceae.